GACGAACCGUGCAAACGUUGUUCGGAAUCACUGGGCUUAAAGGGCGCGUAGGCGGGCAGCCAAGUCUGAGGUGAAAUCUUUCGGCUUAACCGGAAAAUAGCCUUGGAUACUGGCAGUCUCGAGGGAGGUAGGGGCAUGUGGAACUUCCGGUGGAGCGGUGAAAUGCGUUGAUAUCGGAAGGAACGCCGGUGGCGAAAGCGACGUGCUGGACCUCUACUGACGCUGAGGCGCGAAAGCCAGGGGAGCAAACGGG
RNAcentral lists this ribosomal RNA (253 nucleotides) under uncultured bacterium. RNAcentral's name for it is "partial 16S ribosomal RNA". It matches the Rfam family "Bacterial small subunit ribosomal RNA", at positions 524 to 776 of the family's 1533-position model. The record is from RNAcentral.